ACGCUGGCGGCGUGCCUAAUACAUGCAAGUCGAACGAGAGCGACCGGUGCUUGCACUGGUCAAUCUAGUGGCGAACGGGUGAGUAACACGUGGGUAACCUGCCCAUCAGAGGGGGAUAACAUUCGGAAACGGAUGCUAAAACCGCAUAGGUCUUCGAACCGCAUGGUUUGAAGAGGAAAAGAGGCGCAAGCUUCUGCUGAUGGAUGGACCCGCGGUGCAUUAGCUAGUUGGUGAGGUAACGGCUCACCAAGGCCGUGAUGCAUAGCCGACCUGAGAGGGUGAUCGGCCACAUUGGGACUGAGACACGGCCCAAACUCCUACGGGAGGCAGCAGUAGGGAAUCUUCCGCAAUGGACGCAAGUCUGACGGAGCAACGCCGCGUGAGUGAAGAAGGUUUUCGGAUCGUAAAACUCUGUUGUUAGAGAAGAACAAGUGCUAGAGUAACUGUUAGCGCCUUGACGGUAUCUAACCAGAAAGCCACGGCUAACUACGUGCCAGCAGCCGCGGUAAUACGUAGGUGGCAAGCGUUGUCCGGAUUUAUUGGGCGUAAAGCGAGCGCAGGCGGUUCCUUAAGUCUGAUGUGAAAGCCCCCGGCUCAACCGGGGAGGGUCAUUGGAAACUGGGGAACUUGAGUGCAGAAGAGGAGAGUGGAAUUCCAUGUGUAGCGGUGAAAUGCGUAGAUAUAUGGAGGAACACCAGUGGCGAAGGCGACUCUCUGGUCUGUAACUGACGCUGAGGCUCGAAAGCGUGGGUAGCAAACAGGAUUAGAUACCCUGGUAGUCCACGCCGUAAACGAUGAGUGCUAAGUGUUGGAGGGUUUCCGCCCUUCAGUGCUGCAGUUAACGCAUUAAGCACUCCGCCUGGGGAGUACGACCGCAAGGUUGAAACUCAAAGGAAUUGACGGGGACCCGCACAAGCGGUGG
This 922-nucleotide ribosomal RNA is filed under the name uncultured bacterium. RNAcentral describes it as "bacterial SSU rRNA". It matches the Rfam family "Bacterial small subunit ribosomal RNA", at positions 33 to 935 of the family's 1533-position model. The record is from RNAcentral.